GAUGAACGCUGACAGAAUGCUUAACACAUGCAAGUCUUUGGCGAAGCUGUGCUUGCACAGCCUAGCCAAGGCGGACGGGUGAGUAACGCGUAAGGAACUUGCCCUGCAGUCAGGGAUAACAGACGGAAACGACUGAUAAGACCUGGUAAAGUCAGGCGGACUCAUGUCCAGCCUGAUGUAAAGAGAUGCUGCAGGAGAGCCUUGCGUCCUAUUAGCUUGUUGGUGGGGUAACGGCCCACCAAGGCGAUGAGAGGUAGCCGGGCUGAGAGGGUGGACGGCCACAAGGGGACUGAGAUACGGCCCUUACUCCGACGGGAGGCAGCAGUGGGGAAUAUUGGACAAGGGGGGCAACCCUGAUCCAGCAAUUCGGUGUGCACGAUGAAGGUUUUCGGAUUGGAAAGUGCUUUCAGCAGGGAAGAAAAAAAUGACGGUACCUGCAGAAGAAGCGACGGCUAAAUACGUG
This 463-nucleotide ribosomal RNA is filed under the name uncultured bacterium. Its description in RNAcentral is "partial 16S ribosomal RNA". It matches the Rfam family "Bacterial small subunit ribosomal RNA", at positions 28 to 507 of the family's 1533-position model. The record is from RNAcentral.